This is a non-coding RNA of Paramuricea clavata, 216 nucleotides long. NCBI's taxonomy places the organism in Eukaryota, Metazoa, Cnidaria, Anthozoa, Malacalcyonacea, Plexauridae. The record is from the annotation of a GenBank genome assembly.
GCUGUAUUAAUAAGAUCCGAAAUCCGUGUGAAACAUUCGCCAGAUACGAAAUCCGGACAAUUUUUUCUGUGAAAUCCGACGAUCCGAAAACCUAUUCACCCCUCUAAUAUUAAACCAUUAUAUUGUAAAUAUAUAUACCAUGACCUGUAAAUUAAUUUAGGUUGCUCUGAAGAUGUUGUAUUGUAAACAACGAAACGUUAAUAGUUUUGUUUGUGG